GAAUGUAAAGCCUUAGAGUGAUAAUCCUGUUCCACUCAAUGUAAGCCAAUAACAGCAAUGAUUUGCAUUUGUGUGGACCGUUUUAGAUAUUCAUCAAACUAAAAUGUUUCAAACAUUGGUGAAAAAAGUUUAUUUUACAUUGAAUAUCUUAAAGAAGGUUAGAGAGGUUUAAGGAGGCAAUUCCGGAUCUUGUUGGCUCACCAGCUGAAAAUGGUGAAUGCUGUGUUGCGUGGGGUUUUGGAAAACGUUUGUAGCAAGUGAAGAUUACCUACAUUGUGGAAAUAGGCCCUUCGGCCCUGCAAGUCUACACAGCCCCUUGAAGCAUCCCACUCAGACCCAUCCCCCUGUAACCCACACACCCCUGAACACUACAGGCAAUUUAGCAUAGCCAAUCCACCUACCUGCGCAGCUUAGGACUGAGGGAGGAAACCAGAGCACACCCACACAGACACAGGGAGAAUGUGCAAACUCCACACAGACAUUUGCCGGAGGCUGGAAUCGAACCUGUGUCCCUGGUGCUGUAAGGCUGCAGUUCUAGCCACUGAGCCACCAUGCUGCCCUAGAUCUUAAGACUGGAAGAGUUUAGAGGAACUGUAACAGACAGUACCACAGCUGUACAAGAGGUGUCUGCUGUUGGAAACAAUGUAAUGAAUACUGUUCGGAGGACAGAGCCUGAUUAAAGUCGUAGCAGCUGAAGGUGUGUGGGCUGAAGACACUACGCCGCAGAAUUCUUGCAGUGAUAUCCAGGCGCUGAGACGAUUGCACUCCAAUGCUGUCAGGCUUGCUGACUAUUCCAGCAACUUUUGUUUUUGCUCCUGAUACACACCAUCCAAAAUUCUUCAGGUUUUUAAAAAUUAUUUUGCAUUAUGUCUGUUCUCCAUCUGUCUUCUACCCUCCACACCGUUUCCAUUGAUGUUUACUGAGGAUUUCCUAUUAGUACCAAGGACUGUGAUUGAAUCGGGGAGGUGGUUACAUUGCAACUACAUCUGAAUCUUCUCCCAACUGAGAAAGAGCUCGAAAAUUAAUCACAGUUUCUGAGUAGGCUAUAAAUUGCACAUGAAUUGAAUGAUUUCGGCCAUCUGUUGGGAUGAGAGAACUGAAAAACACAGCCAAUGGUUUAAAUCUAAAAGACAAAUAGUGAACUUGAGUGACAAUCAGCAAAUCAGGACAUAGUCUGAUGCACCCCGCCACUAAGCCCCCAACGAAAUCGCCAGAGGAAUGGGAAGGAAAUUGCUUCAUUAAACUGGGAGACACGGACAACUGCAGGAGGUUGGAAUCACUGGGAAGGGAGCAAUGGGAAAAAAAAGAUACAUCAUUGGGUCAGAGAAAGAUGACCUACAGUGAGGUACUGAGUUACUCACCUUGAACUAUCCCACUCCUGUGCCUGGAUGGGUUAACGACCAGGAAGCUGUGAGAUGGAAGUUUGCUCUGAAAUGGGCGUGAAUUCGGGUGUGAGUGACAGGCAUGUCGGGAUAUCAACCAUGGGGUUUCGAAUUGGAGGAGUUCGAUAUAGUUCUGAGGGCCAAAGAGAUAAAAUGAUGUGGGGUCCCUGAGCUGGAUGAUCAGCCGUGAUUAAUUUGAAGAUCAGAACAGGCAAGAAAGGAUGAGUGGACGAUUCUUACUCCAAUUUUUGAAGUUUCCACCAUUACCAGAGAAAUGGAAAGGAUUGACGAGGAUAAAGUGAGAGCCAGGAAUAACAGCACAAUGUAUAAAUCACUGCGAAUGGAGAAAUGGGAUAAAGACCUGGGAUGGAUUCAGAGAAUGAGUACAGAACAGAAAGGUGCUGUUCUGCACCAUAUCUGCCACAGUAAUGAGGCACACCAAGGUCCAUCAACUAUCUACAAUCUGCGUUUACAAGGCUAUGGGAUGGUUAUGGAGGAACAAGUUGAGAUGCAAAACAGGGCCGGAGAUCAUCCAUCACCGCCCUCACCCUCAACCCUUACAGAUUACAGAGUUUAUUCUUGGCCUGUCCCACUAUUUGGCGGGACUGGGUCCAGCUUCACGAAGCUGCCAGCUGAUAGUCAGCUGUGUCAACUUGGCCGGGUUGGAAUGUUUCAAGGAGCAGAUCAUGGGCGAUAUCGGAGCAGGCACCUUCUCUGCUCCUCUUCAUCCUCCUGUUGUGGCUCUUUUACUGGAGCUCUGUUGGUGACCGUUUCUAAACUCUUAUCUCCACAUCCUCGUAUUGUACGUGUAGGUGGCUAUGGUGAGCCCUCGAAUUUUUAAAAGGUCAAUGUCUUAUCAGUGUUACUUAUGCAUUUGUUGUAACAUUUUUUAAAAUUCAUAGAGAACCGCUAAAUCCAUUUUGCCCCUCCAGUUGUUUUUACAUAAAACUCCAUUCUUGGAUGUGAACAAAUUUAAGUAGUGUCAAACAGGAAAUAUUGCCAAACCGCAGCAGUCUGUUGAGCAAGUAGGAGUGGACCAUGUGAACCACGAGAAUCCCUAUGCUUUCUUUCUGAGAAUUCUCACGCUGAGAUGAGGAAUGAACGCAGAUAGUUGUAGAAGUCAAGAAACACAAUUGACAUUUGUGUUGCAUUAUCACUAUAAUGAAAUGAUCACUAGAAUUUCAGAGAUAUUAUAUUACAAGAUUUAUCACAAAGAGACAUAAUACUGAUGAUCAAGAGUGUUGCAAAAUGUAUCAGCUUGAAGGGCAAUUUUGAAAAGGAGAGAGUCAGAGAUGUUUGAAGCGGGAACUACAGAACUUGAGGCCAAUUAUUGAGGUUAUUAAUCGAUGAAAAAGGACAAUUUCAGAUGCUGCCAUGAUUGCUGAGUACUUACCGCACUUUCUUUCUGCAUCUGUUCUUAGUUCUGAGGACUCAAGGGAUCAAAUUGUUUGAGGAUAAAGGUCCUUCACUCGCAAAUCUCCAACCUCAGUAGUUCACUGCAAACAGUGACUGAUUUUAACGGUAGUCAACUAUUUUAUGUGGUAAUUUUUCUCCCAAGUCUUGACUUCACAAUUGUCCAGAUUAAUUUCUCUCAAUUUAACAACCUGCGUAUCUUCUCUUUUCUCCUUUCUUUUCCUGUUUUGAAAGAUUGAUUUGCAACUCGAGGUGCAGAUGAAACCAUAUCCAGAUCUGACAGCCACUCUCUUCAUCAUAACCAAAUUGUCAAAACGUUUUGAACAUUGAAGAAAAAAUACCACUCAUACUGGAGAGGAACACACUUUCUCUCUAUGUGGAAGUGUCUGUGAAGAUUCAUCUAAAAGGUCAAAACACCAGAGCAGUCAUAUUAGAGACAGUGUGGAAAUGUGGGGAUUGUGGGAAGUCUUUUUUUAAAAGAAUCAUCACAGCUGAAAGCUCACCAACUCAGUCUGUUAAAAAAUUGUGUUGAGUAAUCGUGAAUUGGAAGGCAGGAAGCGAGAAUUUGUUUGUAAAAUAACAUUCAGGGACAAGAUUGUAUGGUACCUUGAAGGGAUAGUGCUUUUCUAAGCCUAGGGAUUUAUACUGAGAGAGAAAAAAAAGUGUCUGCAUAUAGCUGAAGGUGUACAGCCCGUUCUAAAAUUGAAACACGUAUCAAUUGGCUGUGUGAACGGAAACCUUGUUUUGGUGUUUUGGCAAUGAGCUGGAAUCAGCCAAUUUGUCUCAUCCAAGCAUUAGCAAUUCAAAGACAAUUAAAUUUAAACCUGGUGGUUUUGAUAGUUUAGCAUGAAUGCUAUUGUAAUAAAAUUGACAUGUCAUCCCAGUAGAUAACGAGAGAUUUUGAAAAUCAGUGUGAGAAUGAAUGGUCAUCUGAGAAGUAAUCAUCUAUCUCUCACAAGCAAUCACUGAGGUCUCUAAGAAAGCACCUGUAUCCAUAAAAGUCACCAUGGUAUUUCUAGUUAAGAGCCCUCACAAAGUACUUCACAGAGAAAACAUCCCUGACACCCGGAUCAGUGGAAUAAAGGCAUUUAUGACGUGAGAGCAGCAGAAAUAAAGCGCGUAGACUUUGAGAGACUAAGAUUUUAUUUUCUUGUCUUACUACUUGGAUUAUAUAAGUGGGACUUAUGUUUAUUGGAAUAGCAUACCAGUAGAACUUAGUCCAUUUAGGGAAUAGUUAGUAGUUAUUGGAAAUUGUUCAGUUUGCUUGUAAUUGUUUCAUUUUGUUCACUAUUAUUUUUAUUAAAAAAUAAAUGUUUACUUUUUACUUA
Molecule: long non-coding RNA, 4123 nt
Organism: Stegostoma tigrinum
Lineage: Eukaryota; Metazoa; Chordata; Chondrichthyes; Orectolobiformes; Stegostomatidae
Exons: 4
Source: RefSeq, a predicted model, not a curated record